This 3397-nucleotide long non-coding RNA is filed under the name Solanum tuberosum (potato). RNAcentral's name for it is "long non-coding RNA (STUB_LNC003960)". Lineage: Eukaryota; Viridiplantae; Streptophyta; Magnoliopsida; Solanales; Solanaceae. The record is from RNAcentral.
CAAGUUGGAGAAAAAAGCUUAAUGGGUUCCACAAAUUUAUGCCCAUCCAAUUUAGUUUGAGUUGAGAAAUGAGAUUUUUAUUUAUUUGUCUUCGUUAAUUUGAGUUACUUUUGAUUCCGAUGACUCCAUCAACAAUUAACAGGUACAAUGCUGUUCCCAAUUUCUCCGCUUCUAAAAGCCCUCUGUACCAUUGAUUAAAUCGAUAAUUUGACCUUCGAAGGCAAUGCUAGUUUUCUAAUGCUUGGGCACAGCCCCUUUAUGAUCUUAGGGAUUUCAAAAUUAGAAGUUGCCAGGAGUAAAUUGAUUUUGAGAAUUCUGAGAUGCCUUGAUGUUGAAUAUCUAGGUGAAAAGGAUCCAUACAUCUGACCUUUCGGGGUGGCCCAGUGGUUUGGGCUUGGCACUUCCAUGUUGGAGGUCUCAAGUUCGAAACCCCUUGCCAGCGAAAGCAAGGGGUUUGUCUCUGGGUCGAGCUCGUCGCACCAGCCUUGCCUAGUGCGGGUUAUCUCUCUUAUGUGGUUUGCGAGCUAUUGCAUAAGAGCGAGAGUUUUACCCUGUGCGCACCCACGGGUUACCUCUCCUAUGUGGUUUGCGAGCUAUUGCAUAGGAGCGAGAGUUUUACCCUGUGCGCACCUGCGGGUUUCCCUUGUCAUCAAAAAAAAAAAAGGAUCCAUACAUCUGUAGUUGAAUGCAUAUCAGGCUAUCAGCAUUCUGCUUUUGAUUAAAAUUGAAGCAGAAAAGUAUGUGAAAAACAACAAAGUAGAUGACUUAGUAUGACUGUGACUGAGGUCUGGUGUUGCUGCCACAAUCUAUUCUGGUUCAUAAUUUCGCGAUCAAAUAAUACUUUUCCAUCUCUCUAUUUUAUUGCUCAAACUAUAUUUGGGAGAUGAAAAGAGGUUUAGUUGGUUUUGUAUCUUAUAUGAGCUUUAUUUGUAUGCUGAGUAUAAACUAGGCAUUGAUCCUUGCAAACUUCAUCUUGUCCCUUUGAUAUGUAGUAUAGGGUAUAAAUAGUGGUGUUGAUUGACAAAAAAUGUAUUAGGUAAAAAGAUGUGGUACAUAACUGAUUAUAGAUUGUCUGGUGAACUGACUUUUAGGUUCCUUAAUUUCAUUCAACAUAUAUACAUCCAAAUGACAAAAAUAUGUUGCAUGAAAAUAUUCAAGUGGCGAGGAUAUGCAAUAGUUAACAUUGUUUAGUGUUAAUUAAGCAGACAUGCAAGCUCCAUUAGGUAUCUAAUUCUGUAUGAUGUGAUCAAGGACAUCCUAUCUUUCUAAUGGUAAUUUCUUACUUAAGUUGAAAAUAUUAUCCUGUUGCACUGUGCCUCAGUCCGUAACCAUGUAUACUAAUGAAUUCUUCUUCAAGUUAGCUGGUCUUAAGUAUAACCCAAGAACACCACGUCUAUGCACAUUGAGCUUCUAAUUUAAUCUAGUUAGCCAUAGGUUACAUAGCCAGUAAUGGAGUAGUUCUCUAAAUUUGUUCGGUCUCUUCAAAGUAAAACUCCUGAACUCUGCUUUAUUGGACUGAGGAAGCAGACAAGUUUAACCUUGUAUAAAUAUUUUACCUCGAGGCUAUUUUGGAAAUCCUCUCAGUAAUUUAAUUAUUUUUUUUUGGAGCAUUUUACAGCUUCAUAUUUCUAUUGUCCCUAUCUUUGGACACUAGGGUUUUCAAACAUUUAUCUGUACUCUAACUUCAGUAAAGUGAUUGGAUAUAGAAUAUGAUCAGCUCUUUAUGAGAAAUUUCACCUGUUCUGUUAAGAGAAACAGUGUGGAACUUUUUCUUCUUCAAUUUUGGUUUUAGCUUCCUAGCUUUUCUUUAAUGUGGUUUAGUGUUUUAUAUUUUCUCUUUUGAGCUGCUUGUAACUUUGGUAUUAGAGCAAGCACCAAAUUCCUGGAGUUUGUCUCUAAUCGUCUUGCACAAAAGUGCACUUGCUAAGAGCAGAAGCUUGGGAAUUUAGUGGAUUUGGCUCAGAAGGGAAGCUUUAUUACUAGAGGUCCUAGACUUAUCAUCAUAUGUGAUGGUGCUGCACUUGCUAAGAGCAGAAACUUGGGAAUUUAGUGGAUCUGUCUCAGAAUGGAAUCUCUAUUAUUAGAAGUCUGAGAUUUGUCAGCAUAUGUGGUGCCAUGUGAAUAUAUCCAAUGCAAAUUCUGGUGGAUAUUUUAACAUGAAAAAUUCUCAAAAUCUUGUGACAGUUGUCUUGUAAUGCACAUCCAAGUCAACUACAUAAAAAAUACGAAAAAGGAAUCUGGGACAUUUAAGUUGGGCUUCUCCUACUUGGAUGAUUUAGGUGCGCAUCGUAUUGUGCUCGGGUGUUGCAGUUUUCGUAACUGAGGUAUGUCUUUCAUCUAUUUGUCACCUGCAGAGUAUUUCUUCCAGUUUAUUCUUGCACUUCUUUCAUAUUUCCUUUCUACUGAAUUCUGAUCAAUUCUUCAAGGACUAUUAUUUUACUCUCCUGAUCUGAUAUUCCUAUGUAUUUGCCAUUCGUCUGUUAAGUCUUGUUAGAAGUCCUGUUGGUAACUCAUAUCUGAGUUAUAUCUACCUUAUUUGAAUAUCUGUAUUUGUUUGAAAUACAAUGAUUGUCCACAAGCCAUUUCUAUUCAUCAUAUCUAUAUUUUCUGCAAAUAAUUCUGCUACUGCAAGUUUGGAACACAAAGAAAGACCGGUAAGGCGGAGGUCUUCUGCACUCUUUCGCAGGAACCAUCAUUAGUACGACCAAAUUCAACAAAAGCUUAUCUUUUUGGGUGGGGGUUGUUCUUUUGAUUUCUUUUAUAAUCCGGAAUGUUAUAGUCCAUAAGAUAAGGACUAGCUUGUAGCAAAGCCUUGUUCCUUCACACUCUCAUUUUAAUUGUGAUACCUGAAAACUGUUCAGAUUUUGGAGAAGCUGGAGAAAGUAAUAAGCAAAAACUGAUUACGGACAGUGAUCCAUGAUGAAAAGAGCUAUGGCUAGAAGGUGAAAAUUGCUUUUACCAAAAAUUGAUUUGAAACAUCAUGCAUUUUCUUAGUCUAUGUUGCUACAUUGGAUGUCACAAAGUUAAACUGAAAAACCCAAGAUCACGAUUUUGUUAAACUGAAACAUCAUGUAUUUUCUUUGUCCAAUUUUUUGAUGUAAGCAAAAAAAGAAAAAAAUGAGAUGUUGGAAUUUGGAAAGUUGAUCACAGGUUUCACUACUAAAAGUUUCAUUACUUAUCUUUACAUCUAUUCUCUUUUUGAAUUUGGUAACAUAUUAUAUUCAUCAGCACCCUAAUAAAGACCUGGUAUAUCAUAUCUACAGAUACAGCCUCAAACAAAACUUACAAAGAGGCCAUAGAGUCUAGUAAUGAUUCAACAUCAUCAACUAACUGUUCUUUACGCCAAAAAUAAAGAAGAGAAAUGCAGGAGCUCUUGAUCUUCUGGAUUGAACUGCAC